UAUUGAAAAUUGUAAGAGAGUACAAUAGUAGGCUCAAUGACAGCUCAAGCACGAUCUAAACAGUUGACCAGAAACAAAGGAGGGUUAAAAAGACUGGAAAUUUGCGAACCAGAGGUAGAGAAAGUGUUCUUCAGAGGGAGUGUUUGAUCUUGCAGAUUUGUCGAGGGCAAUCAAUUUUCUCCUAAGAAGUAGCUGGAUUUCUUUUUUCAUCCUAUCCGUGGAGCGAAAGUCAGUAGAAUGAAUUCUUGCGUUCCUCUCUGACCAGAUGAAAUAAACUAGGGCAUGGAACAGAAGCUUGCAAAUCACAUUGAGUCUCCCAUUUGUUGUAGGUCUCUUUAUCCAGGAGAGGAAUCCAUUGUAAGAGCUUGGCAGUUGAGGGAGAAGAUGCGCAAAGAAAUCAAACCAUAAGACCUUGGAGUAAGAGCAUUGGAAGUAUAGGUGAUCCCUUGACUCUGUCCCAGCAAGACAGAGGAGACAAGAAUCAGGAACUUGCAGAUUCCAGCUUCUCAUUCUGUCUCUUGUUGUAAGUCUGUUUAGAGUUGUUAACCAGACCAUGAAAGCCAUUUUUGGUAUGCGCUCCUUGAACCAAACCUGAGUGUGCCACUGAACUUGAGAACCAACAGGAGACAAAUAUUUCUUUCUUUUUCUCUCUGUCUCUCUCUUUUUCUCGCGAUAGAAGUGCCGAAUCGACAAAGGAAGAAGAUGGAAUCGAAGGAUAUUGAAUCAGAGGAGGUUGGGGUCGGAGGUGAUGCGUAGCAGAGGAGAUUGAAUUGGCGGAGGAGAUUUCGCGAUUAGGCGAUUUGCUUUCACCUGAUUCUCUGAAGCCUGCACUAGAAGGAAUUACAUCUGUGGUAAUUAAGAAAUCUCCCGAAAAGUUAUUUAAUCAAAGAUAUGAUCUCACUAAAGAGACAAAACAGGUCAUCAAACCUGAGUUGACAUGGCCAUUGGGUGCUCCUCUGAUGCACAUGGCUGGACAUGUGGUUUAAUUAUUCAGAAUCUUUCAUGCUGCACAUAUUUCUAGCGUUUGAUCUUAUAAUUAUGCUUUGCUCUGUGGGUGAUGGUUCUGAUGGAUCGUUGUCUUCUCUGAGCUACAUCUUCAGACCAUCGAGAUUAAUGUGUGUGAGGGUUGGAAGAGAAGAAAGAAACAUUGUGAAAGUGAAUGGUUGGCGUAUGAAGCUAGAACCAUACAAGGAGAUUGUGUCUGCUGCUUUGUUUGACAUUAUAGCUCAGGUUACAGUUUCAAACACUUGUCUUACGAGUUUAGUUUUGUAAUUUUAGAUUUACUCAGAUUUUUGUGUCUUUUUUCUUCAAGCUUUUUGUAAUUACAGUUUACACAUUUAUACCACUUCUAUUCUAUUUAAAA
This is a non-coding RNA of Camelina sativa (false flax), 1363 nucleotides long. NCBI's taxonomy places the organism in Eukaryota, Viridiplantae, Streptophyta, Magnoliopsida, Brassicales, Brassicaceae. The record is from RefSeq and is a predicted model, not a curated record.